AAUACUUAGGAAUCUACCUAUUAAUGGGGGACAACAUUUCGAAAGGAAUGCUAAUACCGCAUACGCCCUACGGGGGAAAGCAGGGGAUCUUCGGACCUUGCGUUAAUAGAUGAGCCUAAGUCGGAUUAGCUAGUUGGUGGGGUAAAGGCCUACCAAGGCGACGAUCUGUAGCGGGUCUGAGAGGAUGAUCCGCCACACUGGGACUGAGACACGGCCCAGACUCCUACGGGAGGCAGCAGUGGGGAAUAUUGGACAAUGGGGGGAACCCUGAUCCAGCCAUGCCGCGUGUGUGAAGAAGGCCUUUUGGUUGUAAAGCACUUUAAGCGAGGAGGAGGCUACUGGUACUAAUACUACCAGCUAGUGGACGUUACUCGCAGAAUAAGCACCGGCUAACUUUGUGCCAGCAGCCGCGGUAAUACAGAGGGUGCGAGCGUUAAUCGGAUUUACUGGGCGUAAAGCGUGCGUAGGUGGCCAAUUAAGUCAAAUGUGAAAUCCCCGAGCUUAACUUGGGAAUUGCAUUCGAUACUGGUUGGCUAGAGUAUGGGAGAGGAUGGUAGAAUUCCAGGUGUAGCGGUGAAAUGCGUAGAGAUCUGGAGG
RNAcentral lists this ribosomal RNA (597 nucleotides) under uncultured bacterium. RNAcentral's name for it is "bacterial SSU rRNA". It matches the Rfam family "Bacterial small subunit ribosomal RNA", at positions 112 to 704 of the family's 1533-position model. The record is from RNAcentral.